CGACAGAAACCUUGUGUAUGGUGGAGGCCUCUGAUUGGCCAAAGGAAUUCCUUCCCUGACAGUGUAAAGGUGACAGGUCGGAGGAAGGUUUCGUUCCUAAACAAGAGCUAAGAACUGAUUGGCAAGAGGAAUCUCGGACACGCAAUGGAACAACAGAAGAUUCGGUCACAGCAGACAUUAUUGUUCAGGACCAUUUUAAUUCUCAAGCUCUUCUCAUUUGUCAUUGUGAUCAUGACUCAUGACUGUGAACUGAUCAGUGAAGUGUGAGCCCUUAGGAUUUCAAAAAUGGGCCACAGUUGAGUGCAGCACGCCAGGAUCUCCAGAUGGUUUCAGAAGUGGCUCUUUUCUUCUUUGCUAGCAGAGGAUAUUCUAACAGUUCCUGCCACAAUAAAAGUACUAGCAUCUUUAAAAGCUUGUGUCGUCAAAGGGAUGGAUACUCAACAUUCACCAUUACUUUGGCUGCUUUUCUUUGUUUCAUUUGAAAUUCACGUCACGAUCGAUAGUAUUUACCCAUUCGUACAAAAUUGUGAAGAACAUCCUGCUGCUGGUGUCAUGCCUGUUACUAUCUUCUUACUAUUCACGUCAGUCAGCUGCUUCUUCAAGGAUACUACUCCUUCCUUACUCGAGCAAGAACUUUUUCUUUUGACUUGAUUAUGACACUUUAACACUUGUGUAAUGUUUUGUUACAACAUUCAGUAAUGCUAGUUAUUAAUUAGUCCUGUGCUCAAAGCCUGCCUAUAUAUAUAGCUUAUGAGAAAGAUAUACUAUUGCUAUCAGUUCAGAGGACAAGUUUAUCCAAGCAGGACGAAAAGCCAUUACGUAUAUUGUGCGAAGAAAAUCAAUCGAAAAUAUUUGAAUGUGCUGGAAAUUGGCUUGAAGAGAGCCAUAAGUUAUCCUUAGAUGUUUAUGUGUAUGAGAGUGUACAGGUAAAAGUCAUUGUUAAAUCUGAAGGCACUAUGCAAGUGAUUCAUAAGGUUUCAAAUGCAAGUGCUUGUUAAAUUUGCAGGUACAAGUGAUGGCUAAAUGUACAAGUGCCAGUGCUUGUUGAAUUGUUAGAUUUACCAGUACAAGGGGCCCGUGAAGUUUGCAGGUACAAGUGUUUUGUUAAGAUUACUGGUACAAGUGAUUGUUGAAAUGCUGAUGCAAGUGACUGAUAGAUGCGUAGGCAAGUGUGUUAAUGGAUUAAGUUAUGAUAAACAUCUGUUAUCUGUUACAGUCAUGUCCAUCUACCGAACAUUUAACAGUUAGCUAUAUGUAGUAUGUAGCUGUUUGUGGUUGAUAUCCAGUACUAUAUUAUGUGAGGUUAGGUCAUUCUCCUUUUAUGUUCAGUUCUUUGCAUCAUUAAUUUAUAGAUAUUGCAGAUUCAAUCAUUGUGGUUAGGCUUCUUUGCAUGGUCGUGUUCUUACUAUUUGGUAUAGAUAAUUGCUAUAUAGCAGUUUGGAAAGUGUACAUUUGAGAGAGAGAUAGAGAGGUACUAUCUUUAAAUUGAAUUUAGCAUCUUGUAUUAUGGAAUAUUUCUUUUUUGAAUAUACAGAAGUACAGUACCCUGAUUCCUACUGAAUGAUAUCUUAUGGUUCUCUAAUUCUUCAUAAAGCAUUGUUUUAAAAUGUUUAUUUCUAUAAUUUAAACAGUACACUUGACUUGACAUGACUACAGAAUUGUUUUUAGUAAUUGGUUUUGUGAUAUAUUAUUAUUUAA
Molecule: long non-coding RNA, 1698 nt
Organism: Macrobrachium nipponense
Lineage: Eukaryota; Metazoa; Arthropoda; Malacostraca; Decapoda; Palaemonidae
Exons: 4
Source: RefSeq, a predicted model, not a curated record